Molecule: RNA transcript, 2326 nt
Organism: Acipenser ruthenus (sterlet)
Lineage: Eukaryota; Metazoa; Chordata; Actinopteri; Acipenseriformes; Acipenseridae
Gene name: adherens junction-associated protein 1-like
Exons: 6
Source: RefSeq, a predicted model, not a curated record
GAGAGCGGGGAAGAAGCACAGAGAUGCAGAAAGAUGCUGUGGAGAAUGAUGCUAUUCUGAUAAGCUCGACCUUUUUUUUCGCUCUGUCUCUCUCUCGCCCGCGCGUAAGGUGUAUGUCUCGACUUCUCGAGCACAUUCAGCCAAACGAAGUCAGUUAGAUGCACACAGUGGCGUUUAAGAAAAGUCAAACUACAUCCCAACUGAGAGUCGCAAUGAGAAGGCAAGUGCUGGAAUCAUCUGAAUGAAGUGGGUGUAGACAUUUAUUUCACUUCACUGAAACCUAUUAUUAUUAUUAUUAUUAUUAUUAUUAUUAUUAUUAUUAUUAUUAUUAUUAUUAUUAUUAUUAUUGCAUUUAUUUACAUAUUUAAUUUAAAAACCGAAACCCUUACACAUCUGAAAUCAAGGAGACGCCUGGGACUUGAGUGAUGGUACUUUAUGAUUCUUUGCCCUCUCAUGGUUUUCUAGCAACACUGGAAUAUAUUUUCUAACGUUUUAAAAUGAAAGUUUAAAUGACACGACUGCUUGGGAGUCAAAACGACGUCUAAUAACAAUAUGCUGAUUUAAGGACGACUUGUAUCUGCUGAGGACCAGCUGCGCUGAGAAGACUUUAGCUGAGCGAUGCAACUGCGUUCUUCCAAAAUACACUGACAGAAACAGAACUCCAACGCUGAAUCGCCCCGAUUUCUGUUGUUUUUGUUGAGGUUUUUUUGUCCUGUUGUGGCUAAAUAUAUAAUUUUAGAGAUAACUCACGCUUGAAGUCGUGUCUGGUAAAACAUGAGCAUGUUCUUGCUAGCCUUUUACCCGGAAUAAAGCGUUUUACUCACCCCUUUUCUGUGGGUAUACCGAAAUCCGGGAAAUAUAUAAAUGGGUGUCUACCUGAAGAGAAAAUGAGGAUAAAACAGUUCAUAGCACUAAGUUCAAUGUCUGCCUCUAGACCAGGUGGCCCUGCUGGAUGUCAUGCUUGGAUUCUACUAGCGAUGAUUCACCUGACCAUGGACUUCUCUUCCUGUAGCCCUGUAACUCAAGGCUCAGGAUUCAAACUUAUAUCAAGGCCUUUGCCUCGGCAUAGGCUGCCUCACAGCCCCCUGUGGAACUUACAGAACGCACAGCACUGGAGAGUCCUGAGCCCUUGGUGGAACAAAGCUCAUCGCCCUGAACUGCUGCACCACAAGAAAACGGAGCAGGCACUGAAACAGAGGAGUCAUAAGCACAGAGGAUCGUUACUUGAAGGCCUUCUUUGUAAAGAAUGCCAGCAUAAAUAUUCUUCUAGUAGAAACGCAGACACUUUGGUUUCUCUUCCAGCCAGAAACUCAGCUGAAGUGACCUUUUUGAAAAGGCCCAGGAGGCAAGUCAGAAACGCAUGGGAUAGUUACGACUACACCCCGGAAGGGUGGACAACAACGAUGCCUGAAUUUAUAGAGUGGGGACCGACCGGGGAAGAUGACACAGGCAUGGGAGAGGAUAAGCAGGAGCACAAGACAAACAGAGGGGCCCCAAACUCCACUACAUUUAGAAGAACCACAACCACCACCACUGCUUCUAUGACUACAACCAAACAGUCCCCGGUCACAACAAAAAUGAACCAUGCAGUGAUCACAAUCUACCCAGGGAAACAGAUGACAACGGAGUCCAGGCAUGUCCGAGUGAUUAGCGAGACAGCUAGACCACCCAAGCAACUUAUAGACACAGCAGGCCUGGCAGUUCACCAGAUAAUCACAAUCACGGUUUCUCUUAUCAUGGUCAUCGCAGCUCUGAUAACAACACUGGUCCUAAAGAACUGCUGUGCACAGAGCGGAAACGGACGACGCAACAACCACCAGCGAAAGAUUAACCAGCAAGAGGAAAGCUGUCAGAAUUUAACCGAUUUCACACCAGCUCGAGUUCCCAGCAACAUGGACAUCUUCACAGCCUACAACGAGAACCUGCAGUGCUCCCAUGAGUGUGUGAGGACAGCAGUGCCAGUCUACACAGACGAAAUGCUACAACAGACCCCUGUGUACAAGACAACCUUUAAUGGAAAUAGACCCUCGCCUGCUGAACGGCAGCUUAUCCCAGUGGCCUUUGUGUCUGAGAAAUGGUUUGAAAUCUCCUGCUGACUGGCCGAAGUCCCUUUACUUCCUGUGGGCGGGGCAGACUCCAUGUUUCUGUUUCCUGGAUUCCUUUGGUGAACCUGUAAAAAAAAGAAAAGAAAAAUAACCUCCAGUUUCUUUUUAUAAACUGUAGGAUGAUGGACACAUUUAUUUUUCUAAAAAAAAACAAAUGCUGAUACUUCUUGAUAUUUUGAAGAAAAGUAUAGCAUUUCUUAAUAUAUAUAUAUAUAUAUAUA